Molecule: long non-coding RNA, 1751 nt
Organism: Colius striatus (speckled mousebird)
Lineage: Eukaryota; Metazoa; Chordata; Aves; Coliiformes; Coliidae
Exons: 3
Source: RefSeq, a predicted model, not a curated record
GGCGGGGCCGGGCGGCGGCGGGGCGUGCGGGACCGGCGGCUGCGGGCGUGCUGUGACCGCGACGCGCAGCACACCCCGCACCGCCACACCACAGGCUCUGUCCCGGUGGUGCCAAACACGGGAGAACACAUCCCCCGCCACAGAUAAAAGGGGGCUGUAGCGAGAGUAAGAUAAGCAAGUGUUGGUGAGGAACAGCCCCCCUGUGCGUCGUUGGCAUACAAAGGACGGAAGGAAAGGCCGCCUUAGUGCAAGCCUUGCACAAACAAGAUAAGCCUGCGUGCUGAAAGGACUACUGAGCACCCUGGCUCUGCUGACUGAGUGACAGAAGCAGAAAUAAUUGCAGACAUUACAAAGCUGGGAGCUGUGACCAUAUAUGGACAAACUAAGGCUUCCUUCACACGUCGUCUGAGUGGCAUAGCCCAGAGAAUAUUGAAAGGCUGCUAAUAAGAUAGAUGACAUCUGUUUAGGUCACAUAUUAGGUGGGAUUAGCGCUUCUAAAGACUUACAAGCUACAGCUUAGUACUCUACUGUCCGAACACAUUGGCCCUUGUGCACGUGAUGGCUGUCAGCUCAAGACCCAGCCCUGCUACAGCUCGAGAAAGAUGGAAGCUGGACAUCCAAGUGACCAUGGCAAAGGAUGUGCACCGUUCCCUUCCCUGAUGCAGACCAGCAGUAGAAGUCACAAGUGACUGCGGGCUUAGUCUUGCGAAGGAGGAAGGAAUGACCCCAGAGUGCUGGGUUUGACUGGGGCAUGCAGCACUGGGGGGCAGGAACAGUCCAGGGGUCUAGGCAAAGGCUCAUGGGCAUUGGGUUCUCCUGACAUGCAGAGGGUCAGCAGGAUCUUGUCACCUGCAUAAAUAACAUGGCUUUGCAAAGAAGUGCAACAGGCACGUUGUGUUCUUCCUUUCAGACCCAUAGCUCUGAGUGGAGAAAGAAAACUUAGAAACCAAAACUCUUUGAGUCCUGAAGUCCCCUGAAAGGGAAAGACACAAGUGACUGAUGCAGCAAGUCCCACCAAGUUAUUUAACUGGUACUGUGGGAGUUGAUUACAAUUAUUUGUUUCCAACUCAUAAACCCACGUGCUACCUCUUUCUCUCUUGCCAAUUAACAGUAUUACUUUGCACUAAUAGAGUGCUUUCAUUUUCAAGAGGCUUAAGAAGACAAAUUAAUCACCUCAACAUGUCUGAAAGGAACAGAUGGUAAUGAAGUAUUAACGUUGCAGUUUCACAGCUGGGAAAGCUCCUGUGAGAGAGGGCUAGACCAGUGUUUGGAGGGCACCCAUCCCUGUUCCCUGGUUGGAGCCAGAGUUCAGGGGUCUCAUCUCCACUCUGAGAUAGUGCUUUAUCUUAGCCUCACCACAUGUUACUUUUCCUAAGCAAAGCUACAUGGGCAUUUUGUUCUCUCUUUAACAGGAAGUACCAUUCCCUGUGCUGAGAAGGCCUCAGCACAUCUCCAGACAGGUUGUUGGAUUUAAGACUACAUGUCUAUCCAAUAAUGCAAUUAGUUCAGCUUGCUGUUAUUUCUUGCUAACUAGGAGCAGUGAUCAGGAAGAAACACAUUCCCCUGUCUGUGCAGUGGAGAUGCUUUUUUUUUCCCCCUGAAACAUUUUGGGUUAUAGUUGGGUUCAGAACAGCUGUUUGCGUUUUCCUCCCCACUCACUCCAGUCUCAGAGGACCAUGGGCACAGAGCACUGUUGCUCUGUAGAGCUUUUUGGUUCAGCUGUACAACACAGUUUCUUAAGCCACAUCUGG